CCUAAGAACGCNANNGNNGGCUUNNCACAUGCAAGUCGAGCGCACUCUUCGGAGUGAGCGGCGGACGGGUUAGUAACGCGUGGGAACGUGCCCUUCUCUAAGGAAUAGCCACUGGAAACGGUGAGUAAUACCUUAUACGCCCUUCGGGGGAAAGAUUUAUCGGAGAAGGAUCGGCCCGCGUUAGAUUAGAUAGUUGGUGGGGUAAUGGCCUACCAAGUCUACGAUCUAUAGCUGGUUUUAGAGGAUGAUCAGCAACACUGGGACUGAGACACGGCCCAGACUCCUACGGGAGGCAGCAGUGGGGAAUCUUGGACAAUGGGCGCAAGCCUGAUCCAGCCAUGCCGCGUGAGUGAUGAAGGCCUUAGGGUCGUAAAGCUCUUUCGCCAGAGAUGAUAAUGACAGUAUCUGGUAAAGAAACCCCGGCUAACUCCGUGCCAGCAGCCGCGGUAAUAUGGAGGGGGUUAGCGUUGUUCGGAAUUACUGGGCGUAAAGCGCACGUAGGCGGAUCAGAAAGUAUAGGGUGAAAUCCCAGGGCUCAACCCUGGAACUGCCUUGUAAACUCCUGGUCUUGAGUUCGAGAGAGGUGAGUGGAAUUCCGAGUGUAGAGGUGAAAUUCGUAGAUAUUCGGAGGAACACCAGUGGCGAAGGCGGCUCACUGGCUCGAUACUGACGCUGAGGUGCGAAAGUGUGGGGAGCAAACAGGAUUAGAUACCCUGGUAGUCCACACCGUAAACGAUGAUGCCAGACGUCAGCAAGCAUGCUUGUUGGUGUCACACCUAACG
Molecule: ribosomal RNA, 782 nt
Filed under: uncultured Phaeobacter sp.
Lineage: Bacteria; Pseudomonadati; Pseudomonadota; Alphaproteobacteria; Rhodobacterales; Roseobacteraceae
Description: bacterial SSU rRNA
Rfam family: Bacterial small subunit ribosomal RNA
Source: RNAcentral